This 273-nucleotide ribosomal RNA is filed under the name uncultured soil bacterium. Its description in RNAcentral is "partial 16S ribosomal RNA". It matches the Rfam family "Bacterial small subunit ribosomal RNA", at positions 26 to 282 of the family's 1533-position model. The record is from RNAcentral.
AGAAUCAACGCUGGCGGCGUGCCUCAGACAUGCAAGUCGAACACGAAAGUCCCCUUCGGGGGACAAGUAGAGUGGCGCACGGGUGAGUAACACGUAGGUAAUCUACCUUUGGAUGGGGAAUAACAACCGGAAACGGUUGCUAAUACCGCAUAAUGCAGCGGCACCUAACGGUGACAGUUGUUAAAGCGGGGGAUCGAAAGACCUCGCGUCUGAAGAGGAGCCUGCGGCGGAUUAGCUAGUUGGUAAGGUAAUGGCUUACCAAGGCUACGAUCC